AUCUUGGACAGAUAGUUACAAAUGAGGCAGAACCUGGUGUUUUCUGUGAACUUCUCAAUCACUGGGAGGAAAACCAAACACCUCACCUCAGAUUCCACCCUGACUGUCCAGAGGGACCUCGGAAGGUUUAACAAGGUGGAGGGUCUGCCAGUAGAUUAGGAAAUUAAGCCUUAUCCUCACUGAAUGACGGACUCCCAAUCUGGAACGGAAGCCAGCAGUAGAGGACAACGAGAUGACAGAGACCAGCCAUACUUGGGGUGCUGAAGGGGACACAGCUACAGAGCAGUCUUACUGAAUCACGGGACUAAGAGGUGCCUCCUGAUGGGAAGAUAAUCUCACACCCAGAAUUCCUGGCUUUCAGUACACUCCUUGGCCAACGUGUCAGAUGGGGCAGCAAGUCUUACCUCGCCUCAAGGCAUUCUGGGCAUCUUGAGUCAUGGCAUCAGCUUCAUCCAGGAUCACAAGCUUAAAGCCUUUCCUAGGAGAACAAACACAUGCUGAGACAGUGGCCAAAGGGAAGAUUAAUAGCGACGCUAUGCCCCGACUUCAUGCACUAAGACCUCUGGGGUGAGAAAUACAUAUAAUUCUUACUUGAAGAUUGUCCUUGUGCUGGCAAAGCUGAGGAUUGGCCCCCGGACAAUGUCUAUUCCUCGGUCAUCAGAUGCAUUCAGCUACACUCGGAAGACAGGCUGCAGUGAAAAUCACACCCUGUGCCAGCUAUGAAGUCCUGGCUGGAAACUGUCUUUUCAGCACUCCAGUAAUGCCAGCUAGCUCACUAGGUCUAAUGACAGCUAAGAUACAAUUAUUCAGCAGCACAACACUAUCAUAUAACAUCCUAAAAGGCAUAUGACCUGUCUCCCACCCGUUAAGGACCAUCCACAUAAAUUUAUGAAACAAACACAGGGCCUGGUGACCCUGAACCAGUACCUUGGCUGUGAGAAAAUGAUGCUAAUUUUAGUUCUCACCACCUGGAGGCCAUCAGGUUUUGAAUAAGCUAAAGAAAGAACACUGGACUACAAAGGGCUGAGCCUCAUGUCUACUGUGUAAGUCAAAUGCUUUUGAGUGAGGGUCUUUUGUCCUCAGAUUGGUCUUGAACUCACAUAGCCUAAAGAUGACCACAACUAAGGAUCAAACCCAGGACUUUGUGUAUGGUAGUCUCUACCAACUGAGCUACAUCCCUAGUCCCCCAAAUGCUUUUCUUCCAACAUAACAUUCAGAUUUUUGUAAUCUAAGGGUAUUAAGAUUAUCAGCCAAGGUCCCAACAUCCACAGACUACAUAUCUCAGUAUAGUAAUCUAAGAUGAUCCAGAUGAAGAAACUGACAUUUUAAAAGUGUUUGUUGAGUCUACAGCAAUGGUUCUCAAUCUGUGGGUCAUGACCCCUUUGGAGGGACAUCUAAUAGACCCUUUCACAGGUGUCA
Molecule: non-coding RNA, 1419 nt
Organism: Cricetulus griseus (Chinese hamster)
Lineage: Eukaryota; Metazoa; Chordata; Mammalia; Rodentia; Cricetidae
Source: RefSeq, a predicted model, not a curated record